CUUCCAGCCCCAAACAAUCCCAUCCCUCCUCUCAAUUCGCUUCACUUGGGAACGUCGUUGUAAUUAUUGCAUGAACCGGGUAGCGUCGAGAGGGGUCGAUUGCUUGAAUUGAUGCCAUGGAAAUUGGUAGUGCUACGAAUCAACAAACCGACGUCAGUCAUUUUGUUUCUUUUUUCCCACAGCUUUUCCUUUUUACUGCUGAUUAUUCCUUGCCUUUCCCUUUGCUCAAAGUAAAAAUGCCAAACCAGUUCUUUCUUUGGCCCUGCCUCUCUCCUUCUUUGCUUCAGAAUUCAGAUGCACACUGCCAAUCUCCACAACGCAACGCAGCCACAGCGAACAGGCUAGCGAUAGGAAAACAGAAUAGUAUUGUUUUAACGCAAGAACAUGACAGCAUUUCAUUCACAAUAAUGUACCAGCUGGUGCUUCUUGAUGUAUUUUGCAGAAGUCCCAUUGUCAUUUGCAAGAAGACCAAGGGCAUGUCCAGUUAUGCACUUAAUAUAUUUAGCAACUAUUGAUUCAGCAGAGAAACAUGACCCUCCAAAACGUAAUGUUAGAUAGUUUCAAAUUACCUGCAUUGCAUGGCGAUGGAGCUGAAUUGUGUGAAGGGGAACAAUACCAGCCCGACAGCCCCAAUACACUUGGAUAAUAAUUGUGUCAGAACUCAGAAAACAGAUGUCUCUUAAUCCUUUGUACUAUUAAUAGCAUGAAAAAAAUUGCGACACCCAAAUCUCUCUUGAGCACACAAUUUUCAUCCAUACAUGUUUUGAGUUCAGUUCCCAUAUCAACCUUCACCAAGCACUGUUUUUCAUAUAAUCAUAAAAUAUUUAACCUCAAGCACUGUUUUUGUUACAUUUAACUGAUCAUGCAGCACAGUUAAUUUUUCUCUUGCCUUCUUCAAAUUCACUAAUCUGAGUUUUGACCAUAAGUUUUGACCAUUUUCCUGCUGUUUCUGUCCUAUAGUUUUUAUGACCAUAUAUUUUACCUGGUAAUGCAGUUUCAGUGACCCAUGUUAUUUAAACCCAAAUGAUUUCCCCAUGUUAAGUUAAUUCUCUGCUGAUCUGAAUCUCGUUUGGUUAUCUGCUUCAAUGUGCAUCCCCAUUCUGAUCUUUUUCUUAGGUUGCUCAUCAUCAUUUUCAUCCACUAUUAAACGGCCUCUCUUCUGGCCAAGACACCCAAAUCUCUCUUCAGCACACAAUUUUGAUCCAUACAUGUUUUGAGUUCAGUUCCCAUAUCAACCUUCACCAAGCACUGUUUUUCAUAUAAUCAUAAAAUAUUUAACCUCAAGCACUGUUUUUGUUACAUUUAACUGAUCAUGCAACACAAUUAAUAUUUCUCUUGCCUUCUCCAAAUCUCGGAUGGCCUACACAUUUCAAGGAACACAUUAAAUUCACUAAUCCGAGUUUUGACCGUAAGUUUUGACCAUUGUCCUGCAGUUUCUGUCCUAUAGUUUUUAUGACCAUAUAUUUUACCUGGUAAUGCAGUUUUAGUGACCCAUGUUAUUUAAACCCAAAUGAUUUCCCCAUGUUAAAUUAAUUCUCUGCUGAUCUAAAUCUCAUUUGUUUAUCUGCUUCAAUGUGCAUCCCCAUUCUGAUCUUUUUCUUAGGCUGCUCAUCAUCAUUUUCAUCCACUAUUAACUGACCUCUCUUCUGGCCAAGACACCCAAAUCUCUCUUCAGCACACAAUAAAGCAGGAGCUGUUCAAGAACGCUGGCUAUGUCGAAGGCUGUUUGUAGAGGGCCAUGGCAUCAUGGCAUGGGAGGAAGAAGAAGAGGAUGCAACAAUAAAUUAAUCUUAAGUAGCGGUGGAAGCAACAACAGUAGUAUCAGUUCAGGUCCAGUAGCGGAAAAGGCAGGCAGGGCAAAGAUUUGGGAGGCCUUUUCAAUCCAUCUCCCCCAUCAUAACCCACUUUGAUCUAUCCAUGUUAGCAGUACAUGUUCGUCCAUCCUAUAGCAUCAUGCAGGAUGCAAAGGUUUCCCUGUGCUGCUGAAUCUUUCUCCUAUAUCUCUACUAUUCUAUAAGAGUAUAUACUACUGAGCAUGCUUUAAUUUUUCUCCAUUGUUACUACAAUAUAGACUACUGAACAUGCUUUCAUUUUUUCUGCAGGGUUCUAUAUUCAUAAGCAUGUUGUUGCACCACACAACCUUUUUGUUUUAUAUGUUGUCAUCUGAUCUCUGGUGAAAAGGAGGGAGAUGAGCUACGGAGGAAAUCUGAUGUUAUGGAAUUCUAAGAAAAGUCUAGAUUUCCACAGGUCCAGUGGUGCCACUGAUGUCAAGUCAGCAGAAACGAUUCUUGAGCAUGAGUAUGCGUCGAUGCUCUUUUUCCCUGAGGCAAUGCUACUCCUAUGCACAGUGAUGUAGUAGCAACGGAGAACUGUCAUUAAUUGGAUACUUCUUAUCCUAAUUGCAGUCGUAUCAUUUAGCUUGGGGUUUGAAUUAUCGGAUUGCCCUACCAUACUGCUUAGCUAAAGCCCUUGUCAAAAUGCAUAAUUAGAAGCAACUAUUAAAGAAAGAUCAGCUUCAGAUAGAGUGAAGACGCGAGUGCAUUUUCCAGGGAUGGAAAGAAGGCAUGAUUUAUUUUCCUCCGACAUAUAAAUACUCAUUCAACUCGGAUCGUUACUCUGGUGUGCGGCCCAAAUAAAAUCGGAGGACACAUGCUUGGUGCGAUCACAUUCCGUGGCCUCUUGCAGUCGUCCUACAUCCGCGGAGAGUCUCGCUUCUUUGACCACGGACCAGUGUACAAUCUUUUCAUGGCUAAGGUUGGGAGUGUCCACCACAGAAGAUCGAACUUAACCUUGAUCAUGAUCUCUAGCGCUGAGGGAACAGUGAUAGAUUGAUAUGAGGUUUGUAGGUGUAAUUAUGUGUAUAAUAACCUUUUUUUUAUUUUCCUUGCCCCUAUGGUGUAGUACCUGAAAAGCAAAAUGAUGUAUGUAUUUGUUGUUAAAUACUUUUCUAAUUCUAACAGUAAGAAAUUAAGGUUGUGCCGAUGCACACUGCCAA
RNA transcript from Zea mays, 2995 nucleotides. RefSeq lists it as uncharacterized. The record is from RefSeq and is a predicted model, not a curated record. The transcript is spliced from 3 exons. NCBI's taxonomy places the organism in Eukaryota, Viridiplantae, Streptophyta, Magnoliopsida, Poales, Poaceae.